UACGUAGGGUGCGAGCGUUAAUCGGAAUUACUGGGCGUAAAGCGUGCGCAGGCGGUUUUGUAAGACAGGUGUGAAAUCCCCGGGCUUAACCUGGGAACUGCGCUUGUGACUGCAAGACUCGAGUACGGCAGAGGGGGGUGGAAUUCCACGUGUAGCAGUGAAAUGCGUAGAGAUGUGGAGGAACACCGAUGGCGAAGGCAGCCCCCUGGGCUGAGAUUGACGCUCAGGCACGAAAGCGUGGGGAGCAAACAGG
RNAcentral lists this ribosomal RNA (253 nucleotides) under uncultured bacterium. RNAcentral describes it as "partial 16S ribosomal RNA". It matches the Rfam family "Bacterial small subunit ribosomal RNA", at positions 524 to 776 of the family's 1533-position model. The record is from RNAcentral.